RNAcentral lists this long non-coding RNA (464 nucleotides) under Hordeum vulgare. Its description in RNAcentral is "long non-coding RNA (HVUL_LNC001457)". The record is from RNAcentral. Lineage: Eukaryota; Viridiplantae; Streptophyta; Magnoliopsida; Poales; Poaceae.
UCACAUGCAUGCACUCGAUGACGAGAACGUCUCCCUCCCACAGUGCGAGAAUAUUACUGGAACCAUGUAUUGUUUCGUACAAAAAAACGAUUUUUUCUCAGCUGCGUUGAAGGCGUUUCACAUUGAGCUUCUUUCCUUUCUUGUUCAUUGUCAUGAUUCUUCUUUUCUGGCACCAUGAAGUAUGAUCUUUCUUAGGUAAUGUAGUGUUGAUUCUUCUUUUCACGUAUGCUUCAUCGUCAUCGUCAUCUUCCCUCAUCGAUUUACCAUAUUGGUCGUAGUAUUCCUCGUUGGCGACUCCAUCUAUUCCGACGAUGUUCCUUUUGUCUCUCCGCACGACAACACGGCUCGUAUUGGUUGGGUCGAUUAUGAAGAAGCAUUGUGUGACGUGCUUAGAGUGUAUCCAUGCCUCAGUUUUGGCGAUGAUGUUAAUGUUCACGGUAGCGCUCUUUGCGUCGGGUAUAGAC